AGUGAACGCUGGCGGUAGGCCUAACACAUGCAAGUCGAACGGCAGCACAGUAAGAGCUUGCUCUUACGGGUGGCGAGUGGCGGACGGGUGAGGAAUACAUCGGAAUCUACUUUUUCGUGGGGGAUAACGUAGGGAAACUUACGCUAAUACCGCAUACGACCUACGGGUGAAAGCAGGGGAUCUUCGGACCUUGCGCGAUUGAAUGAGCCGAUGUCGGAUUAGCUAGUUGACGGGGUAAAGGCCCACCAAGGCGACGAUCCGUAGCUGGUCUGAGAGGAUGAUCAGCCACACUGGAACUGAGACACGGUCCAGACUCCUACGGGAGGCAGCAGUGGGGAAUAUUGGACAAUGGGCGCAAGCCUGAUCCAGCCAUACUGCGUGGGUGAAGAAGGCCUUCGGGUUGUAAAGCCCUUUUGUUGGGAAAGAAAUCCAGCCGGCUAAUACCUGGUUGGGAUGACGGUACCCAAAGAAUAAGCACCGGCUAACUUCGUG
RNAcentral lists this ribosomal RNA (492 nucleotides) under uncultured bacterium. RNAcentral describes it as "partial 16S ribosomal RNA". It matches the Rfam family "Bacterial small subunit ribosomal RNA", at positions 29 to 507 of the family's 1533-position model. The record is from RNAcentral.